GUAACUUCUAUAAAGUCAUAUAUAAUUUUAUACUGAGCAUUUUUCUGGGAUGCUUUUUCUUCUUUGUUUGCUAUUCUUUGCAUUGAGUAAGUACAGACCACUGUAUAAAUAACACUACUGCUUAGAUAGCAUUCCAGUAACAAUUUUUGUCCUAGGUUACCACCCAAAUGUUCUGAGCAGUAGCAUUAAUUUCUAUUUAUAGAAAACAGAUGAGAACCUGUAAGAGUGAAGGGUAAACCAAUUUAGUCUGUAAAAUAAAUGCAAAGUUGUACUUGAUAUGCUUAGUCCUUACUUUUCACGGCAUGUGAGGAAUGUCCUCAUGAUUUGUCAAAUACAUAUGGGGUGAUUUGGAAAAAGGCCAUCUACCUUGUGGCAUUAUACAAAUAGAGACUGCUGCUGCACUCAACAAUACACAAGACUAAAAGAAUUUGAUCCCCCUGAGAUUUACUUGGAAAUAUGAUUGUAAGGAAAUUGGAUUGCUUUGCUGAUAUUCAUUACUGCAGAGAAAAUGUGGUGAAAGGAUGAUCAAAAGUGAGACCAAGAAAAGUGUAUCAGAGGGCUGUGGCCAUAUUCUCCCUCCAGAGCAUGCAGAACUGUGACUUUUUGAAGCUACCGGCUGCUCUAAAAAGAGCUAAGACUAAUGGACUAAAAAGAUCUGUGAGUUGUGUGUACUGGGAUGGUGUCUGAAGUCUGUUCUUCCUACACCACCCCCUUUCUUCAGAAAUAAAUAUAUAAAAAUGUUAAUAUUUCCAUUUCUCUUCGGGGUCCUUCUGCAGAGGAUGGAAAGGAACUUGGAUCCUAUGUCUGUAUCUCAUGCUAAGAGUAAGCUGGACAAAUGCCAAGUCAACUGCUUUAAAAGUAUUAGAAGAGGACACCAAUAAUUUAACUGUCUUGGGUGUGGAGUGGAGUACAUGAGAAGACAAGGACAAGUUGAAAUGCUGUAGGAAAAAUGAAAAGGUGAGAGGUUUAUUUAAUAAAGGAGUGUGUCUGUUACA
Molecule: long non-coding RNA, 995 nt
Filed under: Parus major (Great Tit)
Lineage: Eukaryota; Metazoa; Chordata; Aves; Passeriformes; Paridae
Description: lncRNA (ENSPMJG00000010752.1)
Source: RNAcentral